GAGUUUGAUCGUGGCUCAGGAUGAACGCUGGCGGCGUGCUUAACACAUGCAAGUCGAACGAUGAUCCCAGCUUGCUGGGGGAUUAGUGGCGAACGGGUGAGUAACACGUGACUAACCUGCCCUUGACUCUGGGAUAAGCCUGGGAAACUGGGUCUAAUACCGGAUAUGACCUUCCAUCGCAUGGUGGUUGGUGGAAAGCUUUUGUGGUUUUGGAUGGACUCGCGGCCUAUCAGCUUGUUGGUGAGGUAAUGGCUUACCAAGGCGACGACGGGUAGCCGGCCUGAGAGGGUGACCGGCCACACUGGGACUGAGACACGGCCCAGACCCCUACGGGAGGCAGCAGUGGGGAAUAUUGCACAAUGGGCGCAAGCCUGAUGCAGCGACGCCGCGUGAGGGAUGACGGCCUCGG
Molecule: ribosomal RNA, 409 nt
Filed under: uncultured microorganism
Description: bacterial SSU rRNA
Rfam family: Bacterial small subunit ribosomal RNA
Source: RNAcentral